This 253-nucleotide ribosomal RNA is filed under the name uncultured bacterium. RNAcentral's name for it is "partial 16S ribosomal RNA". It matches the Rfam family "Bacterial small subunit ribosomal RNA", at positions 524 to 776 of the family's 1533-position model. The record is from RNAcentral.
UACAGAGGUCCCAAGCGUUGUUCGGAUUCACUGGGCGUAAAGGGUGCGUAGGUGGUCGGGUAAGUCUGAUGUGAAAGCUCUGGGCUCAACCCAGAAAUGGCAUUGGAUACUAUCUGGCUAGAGGAAUGGAGGGGGACUGGAAUACUUGGUGUAGCAGUGAAAUGCGUAGAUAUCAAGUGGAACACCAGUGGCGAAGGCGAGUCCCUGGACGAUUUCCUGACACUGAGGCACGAAAGCUAGGGGAGCAAACAGG